This is a long non-coding RNA of Poecilia reticulata (guppy), 958 nucleotides long. RefSeq lists it as uncharacterized. Lineage: Eukaryota; Metazoa; Chordata; Actinopteri; Cyprinodontiformes; Poeciliidae. The record is from RefSeq and is a predicted model, not a curated record.
AGCACAGAGAGUUAAGCUGCGAACGAGAGAAAGAUAAGGGAAAUCGACGAUUAAAAACAUUUUUUCAAUUUUUGGAGAAGGAGCGUUCGGCAUUUUUUCAACCUGACUGCGUUCAGGAUUGUGUUAUAUGUUACAGAACUGGACUUGGAGAGUUAAAAGGUGUAUUUUAUUUUCUGAGAAGAACGUAUUUGUAAAGUAUUUUUAUUUAGUUGAAACGGAAAGCUAAAGUAGCGCAUUUAUGUUGUUUCAUGUUCAAAAACUGUGGAAGUAACGGAUGAGCAAAGGCCUUUCAAGUUCUGCUGGACAUUGGACCAGGAAAUUCCGAGUCGAUUGCUGAGUUGGAUUCCGCUAGUGAGAAACAAGAUGGCGAGCCGUAACCCAGGAGCCCUGUAACCGUCUAUAGCAGGAGCUACGCCCUCUGCUGGAUACUGCAAAUCAUCCAAACUGGUUUGACCGAGUCCGGGACCAGUCCAGCCCGCUAGCAGGGAUCUGGAUCUCCUCGCCCUGGGUGUCCUGACGCAGCGAGCAUCACCAAGUUGGCUUCCCUCUCUCUCUGCUUCCCCGGGCAGACAUUCUUCGGACCCCGAUCCAACAGACAUGUGUGAAGCUGAAAUCGGUGGAAGAGAGUUUACAAGCAGCACAAGCCAGCAGCUCCACCAUGGAGAAGACGGUUGGGUGAUUCUCACGAACAUGGCGCAACUUAUAGCAAAAAUAAAUUGUAUACACACAAAAAGACACCUUCUUUAUAAAAUAGAAUCUAAUUUUAUUUUUCAAUGUAAAAUUGUAACCUCUAUGCAUAUUUUUUUAAGGUAUUUUUAGACAUUUUAGUCUGACUUUGAGGAAAUAAAUUCAUUACCGUAGCACAAUUUUGAUGAAGAAAUAUGAAACCACAAAAACAUUUUUACACUUUUUUUUGGACACCAAGUCACAAAGGAGAAUGUACCAACAAAGAAUAGUC